UUGGUUCCAGUAAGACAAUAUGUCCUUCCUAAAUUUUUCAAAGGAGCACACCUUCAGGACCUGGAUGCAGCAGAGUAUGAAGAAGCUCCAGCUCUGCCAUACAAUAUUGCUACAGUAAGAUUUCUUUUCUGACCCAAAAAAAAAAAAUAAACCAAAGUUCACAUCCUAAGAUUGCUUCAUUCAUAUAUAUAAUUUCUUCGUUAUGUUUGUUUACAGGAGUCUGAGCUGGGGGCUGGGGCUACUCGUGCAGGGGAUGGAGAGAUACUAGAUGAAGUUAUUACCCGUAGCCGAGGAGAGUUCAGGCAUGUGAGCAGUCCUAAAAUUACAAGUACUACUGGAACCCCUGCAAAUGAUCCUAAAAGCCAUCAAAGCCCGCGUCUCUCGUACACGUAUAGUCCUCGUUUAAGUGAACUGAAAGGAGAGAAAAGUCCUAAGGCUAGUGGAAGAGGGCCUAUAAGUCCAAGACCUGCAGAACUAGGAUUAUCUAAGUUAGGAAAGAGUCCUUCAAAUUCAGCACAAAAGUAGUGCAGAAAGUUUGGCUAGUUUGAUUUCUGUUAGUUAAUAGUUAGUAGCUUUGGAUUGCUUCUGCUUGCCCCCUUCCUUUUAUUUUCGGUGUGUUGUUUUGGUUGGAAUUGCUGUAAAAUAUUUCUCCUUUCUGCUCUUAUCUUUUAGAGCAUAUCUGUAACUUACAAAUAUACUAAUGGAUAUUGUUCUUUUCAGAGCAAUUUGUUUAUAUUGCCUUAAGAGUUCAAUCUUCUUCAAUGCAAACCUUAACAUUAAAAACAUUAUAAUUUACAGCGCAACAGACCAAUAUCCUUGAUUCAGUUCAUUUACAAGCCAUAUUUGCCCCCCAUUUGCAAGCUCAUACCUACCUAUGUUACAGGCAAAGAUAUGAUCCGUUGAUCACUAAACACUCGAGAGUGCAAAAGAUCACUGGAUUUGAAGUUUGGACAAUCACUACUGCUUUAUCUAAUACUAUUAUCAAGAAACCACUCGGCCCAGCAGAAAUAUCCCAUGUCUUUCCCAGCCUUUCUGUCUGAUGCAUGGUAUAAGCAAAUUCCAAUUGCAGAGGCAUUUGUCAUCAAAUGUAUUGAUGGGAGAGGGUCCACACCAAUGAGUCAUUAGUUUAACGUAGUCCAAGAAUUGUGGGUUAUAAAGUUUUAAGUAUCAAUGAAAAUCAAAUGAAAAGAGAAAGAAAGCAAGGAAGAGGGAGAGGGUCCACCAAAACGUUCUUAAUUCUUAACCCUACAAAUACCUUCAGGAUCAGGCAAGGCAAUGGCCCCGUCACUAAGCUUAACAGGCAGUAGCAAGGGGCCUAAAGCUAGACCCACGAAACUGCUAGAACCUGACGAAUUAUUGGCCAUUGAGACUGUUCAAGAUUGUCCUUGUAGAAUGUGGAUGAUAUCAUUUUUGCUGUUGCUCCCAAAUCAUCCAACUGAAGGGUCAACGCUUUACUAGGGAAAAACACAAAAGAAAGAUAAGAUUGGGAACUCGAAUUCAGGACAAAAUAAGAAGCUUUUCUAAUAGCUGUAAAAGAAAAGCUGUGGUCAGAAUUUUUCCCAUCAAGCUCUCAAGUGGAUAGAAGAAGAGAAUAAGCCUCUGGGGCUGCAGGGUCCUACAUUCUCAAUUAAAAAGAAGAAUGUGAAUCAACGUGGUGGAGUGUUCCUCUCAUGGUAAAAGCCAAUAGGAGCUAAGAGGUGGGUUGUUCCUUUUCAUAGCAAAUCCAUGUGGGUUCAAUUCCUUCACUUCUGAAGGUUUAGGUCGCUUUCUUAAUGAUUUUAGUAUCUGUCUAUUUGUUCAUAAUUCAUUGGAAAUAUUCCAAAACAAAAUGGCUAAAGUUUCAAACCUUUCAUUUGAACAAGAAAUAAAGUUGGCUUUUCAUAAUCCAUACCAGGGUACUACAAAUCAGAUCAUGUACAGAGACGAUGUGACAAAGAAGUUGACCAUAAUCACCUGGGUUUGUACUCCAUACUCACCAUUUUCGUACACGAGUAUUGAGCUGCAAUCAAAGAAAAGAUUGGAAACAAGCAGAACUACGCUAUGUCAUGAAGAACCAAUUUGUGAAAUCAGAUGAACCAGUUGUCCAAUUCAUUUCUUUUGCCAAACCCACAAGAGUAAACGUCAAGAAAUCUAUUAUUACAAUUAUAUCAUCAACCAUCACAAUCUCCUUUUAUUGCCCAACCAAAAUGUUUUGAGUAUAAAUUUGGAGAGAUUGACUACUCCUCCCAAAUUCAGAAUCAUCAAGAAUAUUGACAUCUAGAAACAGCAAUCAUAGUGUCUCUCUAAGACGUGGUAAAGAAACACAGGUACAUCACCAUCAUCGGCUAUAUUGCGUAUAAAGUUUCCCAGUUAAACACAAAAUGAAAAAUGGUAUAAACACAAACACAUACAUAUAUCCCAAUACAUCAAAUUCUAAUAAUAAUGAUCAUACACCUUGAUCAUUGUGGCUUUGUACUUGAUUUUUACGAAGAACAACGUAAUAAGAGGGGAAAUUUUAUAGGAAAUUAUAUUAUGGCAUUAAUAUAUAAAAUUACCUCGAUAAAGAGAAUAGAGGACGCAUGAAAGUGGAAGGAGAAAGCUUGACGAUACUGUCUUUGACCCCUGCAAAAUCUUCCCAUGUGAAGGAGAGGAUACAGGUUGAUGAUUUCAUUCUCUUCCUGUCUCUUUCGAAAUAGUGCUUAGUGAUCCAAUCAAAUAUUUGAUGAUGAGCAUCUCGAAUAUUUCUAAUCAAAAUUUGGUCACGGGCUCUCCAAGGGUAUCCGAUGCUUUCUCUUCUUGAUUACUCGAUCCAAACUAGACUUAAGGACUAAAACCCUUUCUGAUUUGCCAAGAAGAUCUGUUACAUGAAUAAAUAAAUAAAUAAAAAGACUGGGAAGUUGGCGGAACAGGCUACCAGGAACAGUGCGAAACACCUGAUCUGACCGACCUUUUCUCUCCAGAACAACCUCCCCAGUCCCAUUGAAAUUGCAGAAAUUAUUUUGGUAAUUGGCUAAUUUUAGCUUAAUAGCAUGUCUUCAAA
Molecule: long non-coding RNA, 3019 nt
Filed under: Manihot esculenta (cassava)
Lineage: Eukaryota; Viridiplantae; Streptophyta; Magnoliopsida; Malpighiales; Euphorbiaceae
Description: long non-coding RNA (MESC_LNC000644)
Source: RNAcentral